RNAcentral lists this long non-coding RNA (471 nucleotides) under Phoenix dactylifera (date palm). RNAcentral's name for it is "long non-coding RNA (PDAC_LNC004372)". Lineage: Eukaryota; Viridiplantae; Streptophyta; Magnoliopsida; Arecales; Arecaceae. The record is from RNAcentral.
CUCGAGAUGCCCUUGUCACGGUUGGCUGCUACUCGAGAGGGCGGCCCACUCAUAGCUUGGGUCCUACUCGAUCGAGGUAUCCCCCAAUGAAAGGCCCGCAUGACUAAUAAGAUUGUGAUGUAUAUUGGAUCUGGCUCCAGUACCACCCAUUACAAACAUACAGCCCAAAAUGUUAAGCUUUGGAGGGCCGGCUCAAGCUAAUAAACCUAUGUAGCACCCUUUUAAGUCAAUUUGGGACUAUGACAAACAACUCCAAACUACUUCUAUAGUAUGCUCAUUUAUUGUUUCUACACUUAAACUGAGACAUGGUAUUAAAAAUUCAGCAAUAAAGGCACAAUUAAAAGCUUCAAAUGUAAUUAUUUCAUAUGAUGUGAUUAUAUUCAUAUGCUUGUUAGGAUGACUUGAUUAUCAUCUUUCACACGAACAACAAACCACCAAUACUGCAUUGUAAAUCCACUCCCACUUCAAACA